UACGUAGGGGGCGAGCGUUGCCCGGAGUUACUGGGCGUAAAGCGCACGCAGGCGGUCUGCUAAGUUUGGAGUGACAGUUGGUGGCUUAACUGCCAAAGUGCUUCGAAAACUGACAGACUUGAGGGCUUCAGAGGGACACGGAAUUCCGGGUGGAGUGGUGAAAUGCGUAGAGAUCCGGAGGAACACCAAAGGCGAAGGCAGUGUCCUGGGGAGUACCUGACGCUCAGGUGCGAAAGCCAGGGGAGCGAACGGG
Molecule: ribosomal RNA, 253 nt
Filed under: uncultured bacterium
Lineage: Bacteria
Description: partial 16S ribosomal RNA
Rfam family: Bacterial small subunit ribosomal RNA
Source: RNAcentral